CGGAGGGUGCAAGCGUUGUUCGGAAUUACUGGGCGUAAAGCGCGUGCAGGCGGCCGAUUAAGUCCGGUGUGAAAGCCCGGGGCUCACCCCCGGAAGUGCGCUGGAAACUGAUCGGCUAGAGUACGGGAGAGGGAAGCGGAAUUCCUGGUGUAGCGGUGAAAUGCGUAGAUAUCAGGAGGAACACCGGCGGCGAAGGCGGCUUCCUGGACCGAUACUGACGCUGAGACGCGAAAGCGUGGGGAGCAAACAGGAUUAGAUACCCUGGUAGUCCACGCUGUAAACGAUGGGUACUAGGUGUCGCGGGUGUUGACCCCUGCGGUGCCGCAGCUAACGCAUUAAGUACCCCGCCUGGGGAUUACGGUCGCAAGAUUA
RNAcentral lists this ribosomal RNA (372 nucleotides) under uncultured organism. Its description in RNAcentral is "bacterial SSU rRNA". It matches the Rfam family "Bacterial small subunit ribosomal RNA", at positions 526 to 896 of the family's 1533-position model. The record is from RNAcentral.